This 801-nucleotide ribosomal RNA is filed under the name uncultured bacterium. RNAcentral's name for it is "bacterial SSU rRNA". It matches the Rfam family "Bacterial small subunit ribosomal RNA", at positions 66 to 871 of the family's 1533-position model. The record is from RNAcentral.
GGGUAGGGGAGCAAUCCCCGAGACCGGCGGACGGGUGCGUAACGCGUAUGCAACUUGCCUUAUACAGGGGGAUAGCCCGUGGAAACGCGGAUUAAUACCCCAUAUGUCAUUUGGGUCGCAUGGUUUGAAUGAUAAAGCUGAGGUGGUAUAAGAUGGGCAUGCGUCUGAUUAGCUUGUUGGUAGGGUAACGGCCUACCAAGGCGACGAUCAGUAGGGGUUCUGAGAGGAUAAUCCCCCACACUGGUACUGAGACACGGAUCAGACUCCUACGGGAGGCAGCAGUGAGGAAUAUUGGUCAAUGGGCGAGAGCCUGAACCAGCCAUUCCGCGUGAAGGAAGAAGGCCUUAUGGGUUGUAAACUUCUUUUCUGUAAGAAGAAAAGUCCCGACGUGUCGGGAUGUGACGGUAUUAUAGGAAUAAGCAUCGGCUAACUCUGUGCCAGCAGCCGCGGUAAUACAGAGACUGCAAGCGUUAUUCGGAUUCACUGGGCGUAAAGGGUGCGCAGGCGGCCAGAUGUGUCAGGUGUGAAAGCCCGGGGCUCAACCCCGGAAUUGCGCCUGAAACUGUCUGGCUAGAGUACUGGAGAGGGUAGCGGAAUUCACGGUGUAGCAGUGAAAUGCGUAGAUAUCGUGAGGAACACCAGAGGCGAAGGCGGCUACCUGGACAGUAACUGACGCUCAGGCACGAAAGCGUGGGAGCAAAAGGGAUUAGAUACCCCUGUAGUCCACGCCCUAAACGGUGCACACUAGGUGUUGGCGGAUUCGACCCCGUCAGCGCCCAAGCUAACGCGUUAAGUGUGCCG